AGUCCAGAAAAAUUAGGGAAGGGGGAGUGGAGGGAGCCGGUGAGGAAGAAAGCGGAAGCGGCGGCGGAGGAAACAGCGACGGUGGUGGAUAUGGUUUUAAGAAGGGAGGAAUUGAAGGAAUCGUUGUUGUCGCCGGAAGAAGGAGAAAGGUGACAUUUCAAGGAAGAAGUACGAGUGGUGAUAUGGUCGUUGCGGCGACGAGACGGAUGGGUUGUUAGGGUUGGAGUUAAGCGAUUGGGAAUAACGGAAGUACGCAUUGUAGAGAUUAGGUCGCUGUAGAGUGAAGAAAAAAAGGAAGAAGGAUAAACCACACUGGGGUUUUGUUUUGUUUUGUUUUUAUUUAAUUUUUCUCCUAUUUUGUUCUAUGCUUUUGGCGUUUCAUUUUUACCAUUGUACUACAGUACAAUAACAUGCAUUAAUUACGAAUUCCAAUGCCGCCUCACACCCCAAAGAUCCGAAUCAAUACUAAUUGAAUCUUCGGCAAUAGGAAUUUUGACGCAUUCAUGCUAUUAAGAUGUUACUAACCCUUUGAUCUUGAUAAUACGGUUUAGAGAAAACAAGUUUGAUAUCUUAGGGACUUAUAAAGGAGACUUCAUUAAAGGAAUAAGUGUACAGUUUAUUUUAAGACAGAGUAACACAAGAUCAAAGAAAUCUUAUACUAUGUCUAUUCUAAUAUUUGGGGUCUAUAAAAGAGUCAUUUGUUAAAAGUUUUAGAUUGAGUUUAUUUUGUGAAAUAUAAAUUUUACGUCUUUGUCAAAUUCAAAUUGUGGAAGACAGAGGUUAAGAAUCAGACAAGGAGAAAAAUAAAGUAUUAGAGAUCUGAUAAUGGAAUUGAACACAUGCACAAGAAGUUCAUGCAUUUUUGUGAGGAAAAUGGAAUUCGAAGGUAUUUUUUUGUGAGGAAGACACCACAAAAGAAUGGUAUUGCAGAAAGGAUGAACAUGACUCUGACGAAGAAGGCAAGGUGCCUUCAGUUGAAUGUUGGUCUUUCAAAAGGUUUAUGGGCAGAAGCAUUCAAUAUGGUAUGAUAUCUAGUCAACAUAUCAUCAUUGGAUAGCAAAAUUGCAUAGGAGGUGUGGAUAGGGAUCUGUGUAAUUUAAGGAUUUUUUAGUGUUCAGCAUAUGUACAUAUUUCCAGUGGGGAUCGGUCUAAACUUGACCCCAAGUCAAAAAUAGUGCAUCUUUAUUGGCUACAAUAAAGGUGUGAAAGGGUGCAAGUUGUGGGAUCCAGUUAAGAGAAAGGUGGUUGUUAGCAAAGAUGUUUUAUUUGAUGAGCAAUUGAUGUUAAAAUAGUCAUAUAUGACACUUGUGUCAGAUACUGGGGUAGAAAUUCCAGGCAUGAUAAGAUUCAGGUGGACAUUGAGGAGCCAUCAAUGAGUCCAAUGCAGAUUGUAAUCCAACAGUAAGAUGAACCAGGCUCAUAUUCAGGUGGAGUGCAAGAUUCAUACGGAGUACAAGAUUAUACACUUGUACGUGAUAUGGAGUUGCAUCGUAUUACACCUCUAUUAAGAUAUGGGUUUGAAGACUUAGAAAUAUAUGUUUUUCUUACUAGUUCAGAAGACCCUUCUACUUUUCGAGAGGUUAUGGCUAGUCGAGAGAAAGAUAAGUGGAUGGUGUUAUGGUGGAUGAGAUGGAAUCCUUGAAAAAGAAUGAGACAUAGGAUAUUGUUCAGCUGCCAUAGAGAAAUAGAGUUAUUGGUUGCAAGUGGAUGUACAAGAAAAAACCAACAAUAACAGAAAAAUAAGGGGAAAAGUUUAAGGUUCACCUAGUUGCAAAGGGGUAUUCACAGCAUAAUGGGAUUGAUUAUGAUGAAAUUUUGAGUCUGGUGGUUAGACACACUUCUA
This 1843-nucleotide long non-coding RNA is filed under the name Lathyrus oleraceus (garden pea). RNAcentral's name for it is "Pisum sativum (pea) long non-coding RNA (PSAT_LNC031686)". Lineage: Eukaryota; Viridiplantae; Streptophyta; Magnoliopsida; Fabales; Fabaceae. The record is from RNAcentral.